UCCAGCAAGUGGCAGUGGUCAGUGACACAGUAUCAGCACAGUAUCAACCAAGUGUGUUAUUGUGUCGACACGCCUCAUGUCAACCUGAACUAAAGAGUAUUUAGUUCAGGUUGACAUUCUGAAACCUUAAUGAACAUUAAUUUGAUCAUACAACUCAUUCCAAUGAAGAAAUAUUCAAACUCAGAAAACAUGCUCAGGCGGGCUUUUAUGCUGCAAGUGGCAGAUGAGAUAAAGACUCGCAGGUGUGCAACUUUAUUUGGGAGCAGAAUAUUCCCCGACACAGGAGAACAAAAAGAUAGGGGUUUGAUUUCGUGGAGUUCGUCGCACAAUGCAUAAGGCGUCUGACUACAAAUCAGGGCAUGCUCGGCCAGAGAGGGCGUCCACCAGGUUGAAAAAGAGAUGAAGAGCAAACACUGUCAAUACAUAAUAAAGUUUCUCUGUCCCAAUAUCCCCCAAAAAACAGUCCAAAGUAGCAAGAUUAAGAACAUCUUUUUUUUAAAAACGCUCACAUGAGGCGGAUUUUGAGCCUUGCCUAUGCAGUGAUAUUAAUAAUAAUCAUCAUCAUCAUCAUGAAAAGGUGUGAUGGUGGCGUGGUAUUCAUUUAUCUUUGGAAUUGGUGCGUUUAGAUUUUUGUCUUUUGCUUUUCCUUGUGUUUGGGUUUAGUUUCAAGUGCAGCUCAUGUUCACACAAUGCACAGUUUAUCUUAUUAUUUUUAGAAGGUCAUAGGAAAUCAGAUGAAAGGCUGCAAUGGCCAACUCUCACCAGCAGAGGCUAUCGUAAAUGACACAACGUGGCAUCAGCUCUGAGCAGCAAAUGUUGUCAAUUCAUUGUCAAAUUUUUCCGUCCAAAU
Long non-coding RNA from Hippocampus zosterae (dwarf seahorse), 850 nucleotides. RefSeq lists it as uncharacterized. Lineage: Eukaryota; Metazoa; Chordata; Actinopteri; Syngnathiformes; Syngnathidae. The transcript has 2 exons. The record is from RefSeq and is a predicted model, not a curated record.